RNAcentral lists this ribosomal RNA (552 nucleotides) under uncultured bacterium. RNAcentral's name for it is "bacterial SSU rRNA". It matches the Rfam family "Bacterial small subunit ribosomal RNA", at positions 28 to 569 of the family's 1533-position model. The record is from RNAcentral.
AUUGAACGCUGGCGGCAGGCCUAACACAUGCAAGUCGAACGGCAGCACAGAAGAGCUUGCUCUUUGGGUGGCGAGUGGCGGACGGGUGAGUAACACGUAGGAAUCUACCCAGUAGUGGGGGAUAACCUGGGGAAACCCAGGCUAAUACCGCAUACGCCCUGAGGGGGAAAGCGGGGGAUCUUCGGACCUCGCGCUAUUGGAUGAGCCUGCGUCGGAUUAGCUAGUUGGUGGGGUAAGGGCCCACCAAGGCGACGAUCCGUAGCUGGUCUGAGAGGAUGACCAGUCACACCGGAACUGAGACACGGUCCGGACUCCUACGGGAGGCAGCAGUGGGGAAUAUUGGACAAUGGGCGCAAGCCUGAUCCAGCCAUGCCGCGUGGGUGAAGAAGGCCUUCGGGUUGUAAAGCCCUUUAGGUGGGGAGGAAGGCAUUCAUGCUAAUACCAUGGAUGAUUGACGUUACCCACAGAAUAAGCACCGGCUAACUCCGUGCCAGCAGCCGCGGUAAUACGGAGGGUGCAAGCGUUAAUCGGAAUUACUGGGCGUAAAGCGCA